GGGAAAGUAGCUCAGUGGUAGAGCGCUUGCUUUGCAUGCAUGAAGCCCUAGGUUCAAUUCCUCAGCACCA
This 70-nucleotide transfer RNA is filed under the name Dipodomys ordii (Ord's kangaroo rat). It matches the Rfam family "tRNA". Rfam says of the family: Transfer RNA (tRNA) molecules are approximately 80 nucleotides in length. Their secondary structure includes four short double-helical elements and three loops (D, anti-codon, and T loops). Lineage: Eukaryota; Metazoa; Chordata; Mammalia; Rodentia; Heteromyidae. The record is from Rfam by way of RNAcentral.